GCAUAUCAAAAAAGCGGAGGAAAAGAAACUAACAAGGAUUCCCCUAGUAACUGCGAGUGAAGCGGGAAAAGCUCAAAUUUAAAAUCUGGUGGUCUUUGGCCAUCCGAGUUGUAAUCUAGAGAAGUGUUAUCCGCGCUGGACCGUGUACAAGUCCCCUGGAAUGGGGCGUCAUAGAGGGUGAGAAUCCCGUCUUUGACACGGACUACCAGGGCUUUGUGAUGCACUCUCAAAGAGUCGAGUUGUUUGGGAAUGCAGCUCAAAAUGGGUGGUAAAUUCCAUCUAAAGCUAAAUAUUGGCGAGAGACCGAUAGCGAACAAGUACCGUGAGGGAAAGAUGAAAAGAACUUUGGAAAGAGAGUUAAACAGUACGUGAAAUUGUUGAAAGGGAAACGCUUGAAGUCAGUCGCGUCUGCCAGGGAUCAACCUUACUUUUGUGAGGCGUACUUCCUGGUUGAUGGGUCAGCAUCAGUUUUGGUCGCUGGAUAAAGGUCAGAGAAAUGUGGCACCUUCGGGUGUGUUAUAGUCUUUGAUCAGAUACAGUGGCUGGGACUGAGGAACUCAGCGCCGCAAGGCUGUCUUAGGAUGCUGGCAAAAUGGCUUUAAUCGACCCGUCUUGAAACACGGACCAAAGGAGUC
Molecule: ribosomal RNA, 635 nt
Filed under: Pleurotus sp. 'Florida'
Lineage: Eukaryota; Fungi; Basidiomycota; Agaricomycetes; Agaricales; Pleurotaceae
Description: LSU rRNA
Rfam family: Eukaryotic large subunit ribosomal RNA
Source: RNAcentral